This is a non-coding RNA of Bombyx mori (domestic silkworm), 109 nucleotides long. NCBI's taxonomy places the organism in Eukaryota, Metazoa, Arthropoda, Insecta, Lepidoptera, Bombycidae. The record is from RefSeq and is marked provisional.
CUAUGCCAAUUAUCGUUACGCGCGUCGCUUAGGCGGGAGUGGACUUCGCGUUGUAGACGACGCAUCCGAAUCCGGUUUGAAUGCGUGGGAAGACGAUCGUAGGCCCGGA